UGGUAGAGAGAAGAGAAAUUAAUGGGUUGGAAGUUACUCGAUUCACGUACAUCUUUAAUUCUUUUGAUACAUAUACAUAUCUUACGAUAACUAGAAUUAAUGGCACACUACUCUCUUUUAUGAAAUUUUACAUAACUCUUCUAUCUUUAUAUGAAAAAACAUUUGUUUAAAAUUUGAGUUUGCAUGUGAGGAGUAUCCUGCCUCCCACAUGGACAAUAUCACUAAAGUUCAUGUUUAUCAUCAGUGUACGCUAAGGGUCGAGUUGGGAAGGGUCGAGUCGGCGGCGUGCCGGAAAAAUUGGCGGUGUGCAGGGGUUCUAUGUGGGUUAUUAACCGUGUGCGAAGCCGCGGGUAGGAGUGCCAAAGAAGAUCGGAUUUUCAGUUCGUCUCCUCCUCCUCCUCCUCGUGACUCCGAAGAUCUUUGAACUCCGUCCCUGCAGGCCGUCCUCCGUACACCCCCGCCGUGAUGACCCCGCCGGCCGCCGGCUCGCUGCCGGGGCGCCCACGCCUCCGGCCGCCGCCGCACCACCACUACAAGCGCACCGACAGCUCAGUCCUCGCCGUGCACGCGCGCAUGCACCUGGACAUGCGCCGGGAACCCACCCGCACGGAGCAGACGGUGAGGCUGAAGCAGUGGGACAAAUACGGCCUCUUCCGACGACACGAACGACUGGCCCACGAGUGCCUCGAGCACUUCCUUGACUUAUAAUCUGGUCAUGGACAACACAAACGUAGGAAAAGCCCUCCUGGUUUUCCAACGUGUAUGUUCCAAGAAGUCGACUAGCUCCCUUCCACGUUUCCCGUCGACUCAAACCCACUGAUAGUUGAACAUGCCCUGACGCAUACACCUGUUUAUAUACUGAGCUCAGGACAUCUAAAACACUCACUAAAUCCGUGGGCGAAAGAGGAAGUGGGUUCACAGGACUUCUACGGACUUGGAGGUGCACAGAAUAGUACCUACUGAUCUCCGUAACGGAGCCCAGAUCUGUGAGAAAAGUAACCGUUCAAACUUCGUGUCGCGUUUCUUAUAACCCUCUGUGAUAUGAGCAGUCACGUACAACCGGGUUAUGAGUAUAAGACAAGUCUCCUACUACUUGAACGAGGUACAAGUCAGCAAGUUUUAAAACCUGCCGCAGACGACCUCGACCCACCACUACACUUAAAUCAAUUUACCGUGUCAAGAGGUGUACUGUAAUGUUCGUAGUGUGACUCCUUAUGGCUCGACGUCACUGACUCGACGAGUACUUCCGAAGUCGCGAAAUGUGUUCGUCUUUUGCUGAGUUACUGAUGUCACAGCCGUGCUCACUCCUGUCACUGUGUGGAAUAAGCAGAGCGUUAGAUGUAUUCUGACGACAUUCGAGGUCACUAUCCGAUCCCUCCCAAAGUCGACUAGGUCGGUUAGUAAAGAAGAAUGGCUCAAGGUACCUCAUGGUGCUUUCGUCGUCACUUCACGAUUUUGGGCUCAACAAGUUGUACGGCUCACAACUUUCGCGCUUCUUGGGACUACCGGACAACCCCUUCUACGAGAUACUACAUACACAGGGUUUCUUGCACCUUCCGACCCUGAAGUUCGAACGUAGUUAUCUACCCGUCGCAUACGUAAAAUGACGAGUAGUCGUACCAUGAAGGUUAGGUUGUUUUACAUAUGCGGUGAGUUCUAACAUUACUAAAACUGAGUUGUAGAUUCACGUAAGGUCGUCUGACGAGAUAUGACGGUCUCAUAUGAACAAACUCCUCUUACAAUAACACAACUGGAAAAGACCUUUCCGUACCGUUUUGCUUACGAAAAAAUACCUCUAAAAUCAACGGCACUUCUACCGUUUAAGGAAUCUGGAACAAGCCAACUGUCCCUUCAUUUCCCCUAAUUUAGGGAUUGUUCAGUUUUAGGAAAGGUUAGGUCAGGUUAGGGGAAACCCUCCUGCUAAUUGGCUUGUUCCGGAAUAGCUUCGUUCUGUUUAAGGGCGAAUAUUAGCCAAAAGACAUCCUUUUCAAUCCUAAGAGUUUACUACUGUAAUGACGUUCAGAACUCCGGGUCUUUGUUGGUCAACAGUUACGAAACUGUGUCGUCGUCCUUCUAGGUCUUCGACAGAUCGUGCGGACCGUUUGGUCGUACUGCUUGAACUACAAUAAGAGACCGUACCGUUGUCGAUCUUGAACUUUGACAGUUCUUCCGGGACCGUCUCGUCGUCGUUCUUGCAAUUCAACACUUCCUAGGCGUUGUACUUGAAGUUACACACUUCUAAUGGGAACAUGCCGUGGUUUUUGAUGGACUUCCGGAGUUCUUCCGGGACGGUCUCCUCGUUCUACUUUAACUUCUAGACUUUUACCCGAACAAUCUAUACGUAUUGGCGGAACUUAUAUAGUUGUGGCGGGAACAUCUCGUCGUCCUUCUUGACCUUCAGCAGUUCUUACGCUUCCUUCUCUUUUGUAACCGAUGCAGCACUCCUAACGUAGCUGUCCUAGGCUACGGAUCUCGACUUGUUUGUGGAGGUAGUAUGACCACGUAACAAACUUUUAACGUGCUGAUAUAGUGUACCAACCAAUAACAUUACCGAGUCUGUCAGACAAAUUCUUACAGUUCAAAUGCCAAAUUAUUAUCGUCGCUAUCGACUUAAACGUAAGUUUA
This 2625-nucleotide ribosomal RNA is filed under the name Triticum aestivum (bread wheat). RNAcentral's name for it is "partial small subunit ribosomal RNA". The record is from RNAcentral. Lineage: Eukaryota; Viridiplantae; Streptophyta; Magnoliopsida; Poales; Poaceae.